This 380-nucleotide unclassified non-coding RNA is filed under the name Hevea brasiliensis (rubber tree). The record is from RNAcentral. Lineage: Eukaryota; Viridiplantae; Streptophyta; Magnoliopsida; Malpighiales; Euphorbiaceae.
UGGAAUAACAUAAGGAGAAGCAACUACGCAACGAACACGAAAAUGUUCCGCAAGGCUCCACCCUUCCAAUGCAAAAAAAUUGAUCACAAUAAAAUCACCCUCCAUGCUUGGGCCAUGUCCAAAAAUUCCUUCAAAUACAGAAUAGCAUUUUCGUCUGUGCUCUCUUGAGAUAAUCCUUUUCUGAAGAGAGAAAGCAGAUUCCUCUGUCUCUGUGGAAUUAUAACUCUCAUGAAUAGAAAUAACAGAUGGCGAUUUAAUAGGAAGAAAAGUAACAUGUCUGUCUUCCAAAUGGGACCUUAAGUUCUCAUGUGCUGAGUGUGUUACUAAAACCACAUGAUAUUGAUUCUGAUCAUGAGCAAAAGCUGCAGCAAUGGCAGCAA